GAUGAACGCUGGCGGCGUGCCUAACACAUGCAAGUCGAGCGAUCUUCUUCGGAAGAGAGCGGCGGACGGGUGAGUAACGCGUGGGUAACCUGCCCUGUACACACGGAUAACAUACCGAAAGGUAUGUGAAUACGAGAUAAUAUGCUUUUAUCGCAUGGUAGAAGUAUCAAAGCUCCGGCGGUACAGGAUGGACCCGCGUCUGAUUAGCUAGUUGGUAAGGUAACGGCUUACCAAGGCGACGAUCAGUAGCCGACCUGAGAGGGUGAUCGGCCACAUUGGAACUGAGACACGGUCCAAACUCCUACGGGAGGCAGCAGUGGGGAAUAUUGCACAAUGGGCGAAAGCCUGAUGCAGCAACGCCGCGUGAGCGAUGAAGGCCUUCGGGUCGUAAAGCUCUGUCCUCAAGGAAGAUAAUGACGGUACUUGAGGAGGAAGCCCCGGCUAACUACGUGCCAGCCGCCGCAGUAA
Molecule: ribosomal RNA, 468 nt
Filed under: uncultured bacterium
Lineage: Bacteria
Description: partial 16S ribosomal RNA
Rfam family: Bacterial small subunit ribosomal RNA
Source: RNAcentral